RNAcentral lists this ribosomal RNA (434 nucleotides) under uncultured bacterium. RNAcentral's name for it is "bacterial SSU rRNA". It matches the Rfam family "Bacterial small subunit ribosomal RNA", at positions 954 to 1392 of the family's 1533-position model. The record is from RNAcentral.
GCAGAACGCGAAGAACCUUACCCACCUUUGACAUGUACGGAAGUUGCCAGAGAUAGAGGAGUGCUCGAAAGAGAGCCGUAACACAGGUGCUGCAUGGCUGUCGUCAGCUCGUGUCGUGAGAUGUUGGGUUAAGUCCCGCAACGAGCGCAACCCUUGCCAUUAGUUGCUACGAAAGGGCACUCUAAUGGGACUGCCGGUGACAAACCGGAGGAAGGUGGGGAUGACGUCAAGUCCUCAUGGCCCUUAUAGGUGGGGCUACACACGUCAUACAAUGGCUGGUACAAAGGGUUGCCAACCCGCGAGGGGGAGCUAAUCCCAUAAAGCCAGUCGUAGUCCGGAUCGCAGUCUGCAACUCGACUGCGUGAAGUCGGAAUCGCUAGUAAUCGUGGAUCAGAAUGUCACGGUGAAUACGUUCCCGGGUCUUGUACACACCG